CAGGUGGAUGCCGAAAAGCCUCAGAAAAGAGUAGGUG
This 37-nucleotide non-coding RNA is filed under the name unclassified sequences. RNAcentral's name for it is "DUF805b RNA". It matches the Rfam family "DUF805b RNA". From Rfam's summary of the family: Bacteroidetes, Chlorobi (1 example), Proteobacteria. Lineage (Flavobacteria) The record is from RNAcentral.